GCAUAUCAAUAAGCGGAGGAAAAGAAACCAACAGGGAUUGCCCCAGUAACGGCGAGUGAAGCGGCAACAGCUCAAAUUUGAAAUCUGGCUCUCGGGCCCGAGUUGUAAUUUGUAGAGGAUGCUUUUGGUGAGGUGCCUUCCGAGUUCCCUGGAACGGGACGCCAUAGAGGGUGAGAGCCCCGUCUGGUUGGACACCGAUCCUCUGUAAAGCUCCUUCGACGAGUCGAGUAGUUUGGGAAUGCUGCUCUAAAUGGGAGGUAUAUGUCUUCUAAAGCUAAAUACCGGCCAGAGACCGAUAGCGCACAAGUAGAGUGAUCGAAAGAUGAAAAGAACUUUGAAAAGAGAGUUAAACAGUACGUGAAAUUGUUGAAAGGGAAGCGCUUGUGACCAGACUUGGGCUUGGUUGAUCAUCCGGGGUUCUCCCCGGUGCACUCUUCCGGCCCAGGCCAGCAUCAGUUCGCCCUGGGGGACAAAGGCUUCGGGAAUGUGGCUCUCUCCGGGGAGUGUUAUAGCCCGUUGCGUAAUACCCUGUGGCGGACUGAGGUUCGCGCAUUCGCAAGGAUGCUGGCGUAAUGGUCAUCAGUGACCCGUCUUGAAACACGGACCAAGGAGUCGUCUUCGUAUGCGAGUGUUCGGGUGUCAAACCCCUACGCGAAAUGAAAGUGAACGCAGGUGAGAGCUUCGGCGCAUCAUCGACCGAUCCUGAUGUUAUCGGAUGGAUUUGAGUAAGAGCAUACGGGGCCGGACCCGAAAGAAGGUGAACUAUGCCUGUGUAGGGUGAAGCCAGAGGAAACUCUGGUGGAGGCUCGCAGCGGUUCUGACGUGCAAAUCGAUCGUCAAACAUGGGCAUGGGGGCGAAAGACUAAUCGAACCUUCUAGUAGCUGGUUUCCGCCGA
This 896-nucleotide ribosomal RNA is filed under the name Fusarium solani. RNAcentral's name for it is "LSU rRNA". It matches the Rfam family "Eukaryotic large subunit ribosomal RNA", at positions 38 to 964 of the family's 3401-position model. Lineage: Eukaryota; Fungi; Ascomycota; Sordariomycetes; Hypocreales; Nectriaceae. The record is from RNAcentral.